UUUCUAAGUGUUUGGACUGGUCAGGAUUCCGUGGAAUAAUACCAAGCCCCUGUGCCUCUUCCCCAGUAGAUAACAAGUAUUCUCUGACCUUAUCAACAAAUUCACUGCCCAACAUAUUGUCAAUAGCAAUAUCGAUGUCAUAACAGUCCUUGCCGAGAAGCUUGUCGCGAACCCAACCGCCGGCGACACGGAGCUCGGUUUGGAGAUUGAAGUGGAGGAGAGUGUUGAGAAGUCGAUCGAAUAUCUUUUUCUCAAUCUCCGUCAGUUCAAUCUUGUCCUUUAUUUGAAAACGAACCACUGCUUCUAGUGAAGAUGUCCCCAUCGCUCUGCAGCGACAGCGACGAAGAAUAAGGUGGCCUGGAGCUCUGGUUCCGGUUGGGAACUGAAAGUUUCGAAACGUG
Molecule: unclassified non-coding RNA, 401 nt
Filed under: Hevea brasiliensis (rubber tree)
Lineage: Eukaryota; Viridiplantae; Streptophyta; Magnoliopsida; Malpighiales; Euphorbiaceae
Source: RNAcentral